Bos taurus (domestic cattle) is the source of this 842-nucleotide long non-coding RNA. The record is from Ensembl. Lineage: Eukaryota; Metazoa; Chordata; Mammalia; Artiodactyla; Bovidae.
AGGUCUUCUCACCCAGAUCCUGAGUUUCUUCUGCUCCUACAUCAGGGGCCCAUAGUGAGGCCCCCGAGACCCCUGGGGUCCCCACAACUCCUCCCCUCUCUGAGUUCCAUUCCCUGUAAUGAAUGACUAAAUCAAGUCAGCAAAUUGCACAGAGAGAAAGGGCCCUGUAAGACCUAAAGCCUCACCCAGGACUGCCAGGGCUGGGGCCAGGGCCCUCUGGAUCCUUGCUGACCAUCUGCUCUGGGACAAAUGGUGUGGGAGGCUGAACAAUGGUACCUCAAAGAUGCUCCUGUCCUGAUCCCAGAUCCUACGGAUAUGUUUACCUUGCACAGUGAAAAGGAUUUUGCAGAUGUGAUUAAGUUAAGGAUCUCAAGAUGGGAAGAUUGUCCUGGAUUAUCAGAGUGGGUCCCUUGUAAUCACAAGGGGUCUUACGAGAGGAAGGCAGGAGGGUCAGAGGUCAGAGGAAGAGUGUGACAGUGAAACUAGAGGUCAGAGGGACUGCAGCCACAAGCCGAGGAAUGUGAGCAGACUCUGAAAGCCAGAAAAGGCAAGGAAAUUGAUUUUUCUCUAGAGCCUCCAGAAAGAACACAUCUGUACCAACACCUUGAUCUUAGCCCAGGAGACUGCUUUUGGACUUCUGAUCUCCAGAACCAGAAGACAAUAAAUCGGAAUUGUUUUAAGCCUUUGUGUUUGCGGAGACUUGUUAUAGCUGCCCUGUUGUUCCUAUGUUUAGUCUCUCAGUUGUAUUUAGCUCUUUGCGACCCUGUAGACUGUAGCCCACCAGGCUCCUUUGUUCAUGGGGAUUCUCCAGGCAAGAAUACCGGAGGGGGUCGCCAUCCCUC